Molecule: ribosomal RNA, 249 nt
Filed under: uncultured Oscillibacter sp.
Lineage: Bacteria; Bacillati; Bacillota; Clostridia; Eubacteriales; Oscillospiraceae
Description: partial 16S ribosomal RNA
Rfam family: Bacterial small subunit ribosomal RNA
Source: RNAcentral
CACGCUGUAAACGAUGAAUACUAGGUGUGCGGGGACUGACCCCUCGCGUGCCGCAGUUAACACAAUAAGUAUUCCACCUGGGGAGUACGAUCGCAAGGUUGAAACUCAAAGGAAUUGACGGGGGCCCGCACAAGCGGUGGAUUAUGUGGUUUAAUUCGAAGCAACGCGAAGAACCUUACCAGGGCUUGACAUCCUACUAACGAAGUAGAGAUACAUCAGGUGCCCUUCGGGGAAAGUAGAGACAGGUGG